Long non-coding RNA from Orcinus orca (killer whale), 1686 nucleotides. RefSeq lists it as uncharacterized. Lineage: Eukaryota; Metazoa; Chordata; Mammalia; Artiodactyla; Delphinidae. The record is from RefSeq and is a predicted model, not a curated record. The transcript is spliced from 6 exons.
GAUAAUGGACAGCAUUUCCUUUGGAAAAGUUUAAACACACUAGGAAAGUGGACUCUGCUAUAGAAUCUGACUCAAAGGGGACCACAGUCAUCACGUUAUAUUCAUCUUACUCUGAUUCCUGCAUAGAAGCUUCAUUGGCACUUUGCUGAACAACAUUGCGUAGAUUUUCCCAAGAAUAAUAAGGCAAAUAUUGAUUCAGAAAGUUGAAGAGCUGGGAGUGCCCUGGAUGGAUAGAUUUGGCAUCAACAAAAAGCUGUUUUUUCAGGUGGUGCACUGUAAGGAAAGAAAAGAAUACAACUGUGGAAAAAGAUGACAAAGGAUGUGCACCAAAUGCAACAUAAAGACAAAUAAUCAAACAAAUGGGGCUUAGGAGAAAAGAAGAGAAGAUGAAGGAUGUACACAUUUUCUAUCAUAGCUAUGCUAUGAAUGACCAUGAGAGGAAAAUAAAGAUACCAAAGAAAUAUUUGAAGCAGGUCAUGACCAAGUAGUACAGAAGAACAAACACUGCUUCUUCCAACGUAUAUAGGCUCUGAUGAAGAAAAAUGACAAAUUUAUGGAAAGAAAGAACAUUUCCUUCAGCAAGCAAAGAAAAUGGAAAAAUAGGAGAGAGAAAAGCUGCCCAUGAAUUGCAAGAAAUCAGAGUGGAGCUGGGAAAAAGUCCAGAAAAAUCUGAAACUUGCACAUGGCCAUCCAAAUGCAACAGUGUCCCCAGGGAAGAUGAUUUCCUGGGAUUUGGAUGUAGACACAGAACAAGAGAGUAUAAACAAGCUUGGAAAUGUAAUCCUUUCUCACGGCUUUAGAAUAACUAAAAUAAUUUUUAACAACAUUAAUUUGGUGACCUUCAAGUAAAUAUCCUUCCGAUAUUUAAAUUUGUAAUGCAAGACAGUGUAUAAAAAAAUUGAAAACAUCAUGUUGCUUGACAUCCAGAAGGAAUACAUUUGAAGGCAUUUAUUUCAUGGAUACCCAAAUGUAUAUAUGCCAUUUUCUUUUAGACGUCUACUUUUUUUUUUCUCUCAAAAGACUUUUAAAAAAUCACAACGUCAUGUUGAGAGGUAGGUUCUGGCUUUUAGGUAAAGUGCAUUAUCUAGCUAAGUGACUAAAUUCAUACUGUACCACAGUUGAGAAUCUUCAAAACUAUAUCUUUAAAAGUGAAGAUUUAUUCUUUCUGACUUUUGUAGGAAACAGCCAGAUGUGUAUCUUUUAAUUUAGAGUUCUAACAAAUCACUGGUUAUCUACCAAAUCACAGGUUAUAACUAAGACACACACACACACACACACACACUACACACUACACACUCAUGUCUUCCUAGGCUGGAAAUAAGGAUUUAGUUGUCUAAGAUUAUAGUUUUCAUUUUCCUUUCUUUCCAGCAUCUGGUAGCUUAGAGUCAGACACACAGCAGUUACAUAAGGCAGACUCCCACUAGGCUCACAACCACAGCAUCUAAAUUAUUUUUCAGGUAGAACAAGAUGUUUCCUAUACCUAAGUUCACAUGAGAGAUGUUUUCUUUUCACUUUUUUAUUUAGAAAAAAAUUGGUAAAAUUUACAUAUAAGUAAGAAGCAUAUAUCUCAAACAGACCUUCUUAGGAUUAAAAGGAAAAGGAAAAAAAACCCUUUUAGCUUACUAAGAUACUUUUGUUGAAAAACAGAACACUGCCUUAGGUCUAAGAAAGAAAUAAAAAUAAACA